This 468-nucleotide ribosomal RNA is filed under the name uncultured bacterium. RNAcentral describes it as "partial 16S ribosomal RNA". It matches the Rfam family "Bacterial small subunit ribosomal RNA", at positions 28 to 507 of the family's 1533-position model. The record is from RNAcentral.
GACGAAUGCUGGCGGCGUGCUUAACACAUGCAAGUCGAACGGAAAGGCCCUGCUUUUGUGGGGUGCUCGAGUGGCGAACGGGUGAGUAACACGUGAGUAACCUGCCCUUGACUUUGGGAUAACUUCAGGAAACUGGGGCUAAUACCGGAUAGGAGCUCCUGCCGCAUGGUGGGGGUUGGAAAGUUUCGGCGGUUGGGGAUGGACUCGCGGCUUAUCAGCUUGUUGGUGGGGUAGUGGCUUACCAAGGCUUUGACGGGUAGCCGGCCUGAGAGGGUGACCGGCCACAUUGGGACUGAGAUACGGCCCAGACUCCUACGGGAGGCAGCAGUGGGGAAUAUUGCACAAUGGGCGGAAGCCUGAUGCAGCAACGCCGCGUGCGGGAUGACGGCCUUCGGGUUGUAAACCGCUUUCGCCUGUGACGAAGCGUGAGUGACGGUAAUGGGUAAAGAAGCACCGGCUAACUACGUG